RNAcentral lists this ribosomal RNA (701 nucleotides) under uncultured bacterium. Its description in RNAcentral is "bacterial SSU rRNA". It matches the Rfam family "Bacterial small subunit ribosomal RNA", at positions 95 to 795 of the family's 1533-position model. The record is from RNAcentral.
CCGGCGCACGGGUGCGUAACGCGUAUAGAACCUACCUUUUACAGAGGAAUAGCCUUUAGAAAUGAAGAUUAAUGCCUCAUAGUAUUGUAGACUGGCAUCAGUUUAUAAUUAAAGAUUUAUCGGUAAAAGAUGGCUAUGCGUCCUAUUAGUUAGUUGGUAAGGUAACGGCUUACCAAGACAGCGAUAGGUAGGGGUCCUGAGAGGGAGAUCCCCCACACUGGUACUGAGACACGGACCAGACUCCUACGGGAGGCAGCAGUGAGGAAUAUUGGACAAUGGAGGAGACUCUGAUCCAGCCAUGCCGCGUGUAGGAAGAAUGCCCUAUGGGUUGUAAACUACUUUUAUACAGGAAGAAACACUGGUAUGUAUACCAGCUUGACGGUACUGUAAGAAUAAGGACCGGCUAACUCCGUGCCAGCAGCCGCGGUAAUACGGAGGGUCCGAGCGUUAUCCGGAAUCAUUGGGUUUAAAGGGUCCGCAGGCGGUCUAUUAAGUCAGAGGUGAAAUCCCAUAGCUCAACUAUGGAACUGCCUUUGAUACUGGUUGACUUGAGUCAUAUGGAAGUAGAUAGAAUGUGUGGUGUAGCGGUGAAAUGCAUAGAGAUCACACAGAAUACCGAUUGCGAAGGCAGAUUACUAACAAUAUACUGACGCUGAGGGACGAAAGCGUGGUAGCGAACAGGAUUAGAUACCCUGGUAGUA